Molecule: ribosomal RNA, 253 nt
Filed under: uncultured bacterium
Lineage: Bacteria
Description: partial 16S ribosomal RNA
Rfam family: Bacterial small subunit ribosomal RNA
Source: RNAcentral
UACGGAGGGUGCAACCGUUGCUCGGAAUCAUUGGGCGUAAAGCGCACGUAGGCGGACUGUUAAGUCGGAUGUGAAAUCCCUCAGCUUAACUGAGGAAGUGCACUCGAAACUGGCAGUCUUGAGUAUGGAAGAGGGUCGCGGAAUUCCCGGUGUAGAGGUGAAAUUCGUAGAUAUCGGGAGGAACACCAGUGGCGAAGGCGGCGACCUGGGCCAAUACUGACGCUGAGGUGCGAAAGCGUGGGGAGCAAACAGG